UACUUGCCUAAGAAUUUCAUAAAUU
RNAcentral lists this non-coding RNA (25 nucleotides) under Mus musculus (house mouse). Lineage: Eukaryota; Metazoa; Chordata; Mammalia; Rodentia; Muridae. The record is from RNAcentral.